AAGCGCCACAUCUCCCUCGUUUAUAAAAUUAAAACUAUUUUCAACUUUGUAUAAGAAAACACUUUAACUUAACCCUUCCACUCUUCGAGUCCUCCAGUCUCCUCCCUGAGUCCUCACAUCUCUUUUCUCGUUCUAUCUUUCUUCCUUUCUAUCAUGGAACAUAAUGCAUUAGCAGGACAACGAGCAUCUUGGAGGCGCAGUUCGUGAUGGCGAAGACGUCAAGGUGUCGGAUCUUGUCAGCGACGGCUACUCCAUUGCCCAGAAUAUAACCUGAGCCCUUUGUCAAAUUGAAUUACUGCAAACUUUUCUUGAUCUCCGCAUAUGGCGACACCUAAAUCAUAGUCUUCGUUUCACAUUGUGCGGGCUAUGCGGAAUUUUCCUGUUGCUUGAUUGUGCUAUCAAAGUUUUGGACACACCGGAGGUUUCGGUUGCUCAUUUGUUCCAUUCGUACCUGCUGCUUGCAUUCUCAUAAAUACCCACCUACUUAGUGAUCUUGGGUGAGUUUCUUCACUAGCAUACAUAUAGAUAUCUAAAAGCAUAUGCAAACACAGAAUGUGGAAGCCUGCAAAACUAGAGGAAAUUGCUAUUGCUGUUUCUACCCUGAAUAGCCAGUUGAAGAAAUUCUUAAUCCAUAUGCGAUAUUCCCUCAACCAGAGGAAAACUUUAAGGCAGGGUCUGACUUGGGCCCAACUGAUGCAUUUGGUAGAGCAAGAGAAAAUACUAUGUGGGGCGUCUCUCUUAUGAUCGGUUACCUUGGGUAUAUUCUGGACAUUUCCUUUAUGGUUAUGCUUUUUUGUAUUUUUUUUGUCAUUAGCUGUUGAAAUAAACGUUAAAUGGCCUUCAAUUAAAACAUAUGAAUUUAUUCUACUUACAUAUCCAGUUAUUGUAAUAAGUUAUUACUUUUGUUUCUACGCAUGCUAUUGAAAGUAGUUCCUCCUUUUUUGAUACUCACACCUCACCUAGGACGGAAGUGAGAUCCCUAUAAUGCUAGAUCAGAUUGCUAGGAUAACUAUGACAUAGGAUUAUAUGUCCCCUAGUGUGCUAAAUUGUUGCAAUAUUUUUAUGGUUCCUUACAGAGGUAAAAUUAUACCAAAAAAGUAAGUUGAAAGUUACGCUUUCGUAAUACCACCAUGUUUGUUUGUUUUUCCUUCUUAUCAUGAUCUUGAGUUUGGUUUUAAUUUGUUUUUCCUGGUUUUUUUUUUUGGCGUUUCCAGUUUAUGUUUGGUUUUGUUCUUGAGUUCUUGUUAUAAUGCAUUUAGUGCUCUCACUCUUUUUUAUAUGUGGAUUGUUUAAUGUGUUGCAAUUGGGGCUUUGUUUUG
This is a long non-coding RNA of Rosa chinensis, 1319 nucleotides long. RefSeq lists it as uncharacterized. The transcript is spliced from 6 exons. The record is from RefSeq and is a predicted model, not a curated record. NCBI's taxonomy places the organism in Eukaryota, Viridiplantae, Streptophyta, Magnoliopsida, Rosales, Rosaceae.